UAGCACAGGUGCUGCAUGGCCGUCGUCAGCUCGUGCCGUGAGGUGUUGGGUUAAAGUCCCGCAACGAGCGCAACCCCCGCGUUAGUUGCCAGCGGUUCGGCCGGGCACUCUAACGGGACUGCCCCGCGAAAAGCGGGGAGGAAGGAGGGGACGACGUCUGGUCAGCAUGGCCCUUACGGCCUGGGCGACACACGUGCUACAAUGCCCACUACAAAGCGAUGCCACCCGGCAACGGGGAGCUAAUCGCAAAAAGGUGGGCCCAGUUCGGAUUGGGGUCUGCAACCCGACCCCAUGAAGCCGGAAUCGCUAGUAAUCGCGGAUCAGCCAUGCCGCGGUGAAUACGUUCCCGGGCCUU
RNAcentral lists this ribosomal RNA (355 nucleotides) under uncultured Thermus sp. Its description in RNAcentral is "bacterial SSU rRNA". It matches the Rfam family "Bacterial small subunit ribosomal RNA", at positions 1030 to 1382 of the family's 1533-position model. The record is from RNAcentral. Lineage: Bacteria; Thermotogati; Deinococcota; Deinococci; Thermales; Thermaceae.